Molecule: transfer RNA, 76 nt
Filed under: [Clostridium] leptum
Lineage: Bacteria; Bacillati; Bacillota; Clostridia; Eubacteriales; Oscillospiraceae
Also listed under: 2 other names
Description: tRNA-Phe
Rfam family: tRNA
About the family: Transfer RNA (tRNA) molecules are approximately 80 nucleotides in length. Their secondary structure includes four short double-helical elements and three loops (D, anti-codon, and T loops).
Source: RNAcentral
GCCUCGGUAGCUCAGUUGGUAGAGCAAAGGACUGAAAAUCCUUGUGUCGGUGGUUCGAUUCCACUCUGAGGCACCA